This 466-nucleotide ribosomal RNA is filed under the name uncultured bacterium. RNAcentral describes it as "bacterial SSU rRNA". It matches the Rfam family "Bacterial small subunit ribosomal RNA", at positions 329 to 793 of the family's 1533-position model. The record is from RNAcentral.
UGCCAGACUCCUACGGGAGGCAGCAGUGAGGAAUAUUGGGCAAUGGCCGAGAGGCUGAACCAGCCAAGUCGCGUGAGGGAUGACGGCCCUAAGGGUUGUAAACCUCUUUUGUCGGGGAGCAAAGAGAGUCACGUGUGACUCAUUGAGAGUACCCGAAGAAAAAGCAUCGGCUAACUCCGUGCCAGCAGCCGCGGUAAUACGGAGGAUGCGAGCGUUAUCCGGAUUUAUUGGGUUUAAAGGGUGCGUAGGCGGAAUGCCAAGUCAGCGGUAAAAUGUCGGGGCUCAACCCCGGCCGGCCGUUGAAACUGGCGUGCUCGAGUUGGAGAGAAGUAUGCGGAAUUCGUGGUGUAGCGGUGAAAUGCAUAGAUAUCACGAAGAACCCCGAUUGCGAAGGCAGCAUACCGGCUCCACACUGACGCUGAGGCACGAAAGCGUGGGUAUCGAACAGGAUUAGAUACCCUAGUAC